AGCCGUCAGAAGCAUCAUCCAACAACACAUAUACUACUUGCAGGUUCGCACUGUCCAUUCCCUCUCUCUCUCUCUCUCUCACACACACACACCCAAAUGGAACUCUAGAGAGAGAAACUAAGGGUUGGUUUGGUUCAGUUGCUAUAUCGCACAGGGUCUGCUGCUUUGACUGUCUAAAAGGACCUUGGUUCCCCACAGAUGUGCCCAGAGCAAGAUUGUUGCACCUAUUGUAAGCACAAAUCAAAUGCCAUCCCUAAAAAUGAAGAGCAAAGUAAGCGUGAGCUGUUUAACAGAAAGACAGGAUCUUCAUGUGUGUCCGAAAUCAAAAAUAAUUUCCAAAAACCCAUGUUCUAAAAUCAUGAUUUCUACUCAAAAGGCUGAAAUAGACACUAAUGUUCAAAAUUGCCUAGAUGUUGCCUCAAGGACACAACCCAAAGACGUUGCAUGUGAUCAAUCUAUUGACAACAAAGAAUUUCUGGAUAAAGAAAACUCUGAAUCGGACCACCAAUUUUCUGUUUGUUCCUCUGUCCUGGGAAAAAUGGAACUAACCAACCCCUGUACAGCAAACUUAGAAACAAUUUUUUCUCCUGCUUUUGAGCCCAUUGAAGUCCAUUCACAACAUUAUACUGAAAAAGAUGCAGGGAGCAUUGGUGAUACAAACAUGGAAGGAGUGGGAGCUGAUGAGGGAAGAAGCAUAUGUGGUUAUGAAACUUGUGAUGUUUCAGACUUCUACAUUUCUGACAUGAUCAUUACAAGCUUACCCUUUGGUGGAAAUUCCUUUGAUGAUGAUAUCAGCGAAACCAACUGCCUAUCUGAUUAUGGAUCUGCUGAGCCAUCCGUGUUUACUGCAUCUGAACAGUACAUGAUCCUGCCUGCUCUUGAAGAGGAUAUUAAAGUUGGAAGUACUUCUGAUAUCAUAUCAUACGAAGAAGCCGUGAUAGUUCGAGAAAGUGCUAGUUUGUAUUCAGCAAUGGGUCAGAUAAGAUCCUGCAACCAGGAGUCUGAUGUUAAAAGUGACUUGGAUAAGUCAGAGUGCUUUGACCCGCAGUCAUUUAUCAAGAAUUUACCAGAACUAUCAGAAAUAGAAGUAAAUGGGCAGCCGACUCUAGUUCCUAAGCAAUCUCCAAGAAGAAAGUCAAUAACUCUAGUGCUUGAUUUAGAUGAGACACUUGUUCAUUCUACACUGGAACACUGUGAUGAUGCGGAUUUCACUUUUACUGUUUUCUUUAAUAUGAAAGAGUACACAGUAUAUGUAAAGCAGAGGCCUUAUCUCCACACAUUCUUGGAGAGAGUAUCAGAGAUGUUUGAAGUAGUUAUUUUCACUGCCAGCCAAAGCAUAUAUGCAAAGCAACUACUUGAUAUAUUGGAUCCUGAUGGAAGAUUUAUUUCUCGGCGCAUGUAUCGAGAAUCAUGUCUUUUUUCAGAUGGAAAUUACACAAAAGAUCUUACUAUAUUAGGUGUUGAUCUUGCAAAAGUUGCAAUAAUUGAUAAUUCACCUCAGGUAUUCCGGUUGCAAGUGAAUAAUGGUAUUCCUAUAAAGAGUUGGUUUGAUGAUCCCUUAGAUUGUGCACUGAUGUCAUUACUUCCCUUUCUAGAGACCUUGGCUGAUGCUGAUGAUGUCCGUCCUAUCAUUGCAAAGAGAUAUGGUAACAAAGAAUAAGGUUUCUCAUUAGACCAAAUUUAGCAGAUCUUCUCCUUUCUUCUAGGAUUAAGAAAAAUUUGGCCUCUAAUUAGAUGCUAAAGUCUCCUUUCCAUUCGAGUUUGAGAUGAAUUAACCUAUAUAUACAAUAAACUAUUUGGUUAUCUUAUUGUUGAGUCCAGAAUUGGUUCCCUUUUCUUCUCAGUUGACAAAUGUGGAGUUUUCUCUCGAAAGGUGUUCAUCACCAUUGUAAACAUAAAGUAUUUUGGCCAUCUAUCAGGUCUGAGUUGGAAGUCAUGAUCCUUAAUAAUUUCAAUUGAGUUGUCAAGAUUUGAGAGGUAAUAAACUAGCUUCUUUUUUUUUCCGCUUAUUUCUUUAAACUUUGAACUAACUUGUUAUUAAAUUUCGUAUUCAAGAUUAUCCUAUACUACUAAAUUGUUUUCUAAGCUUCCAAGUGGUUUGUUAUAAUAAUGUUUAUCUUGAUAACUAGACCAUUUUCUUGAUAUAUAUACCUGUUCUUAUGAUUGAUAAGUAUAUACUUGCUGUAAAUGAAGAAACAGUUCACACAGGUGAAAAGAGAAAAUUAUAAUUCUGUAAACAUCCUUGAGUAUCAUAUAUUUGUCUGUACUGCUAUAUACUUUACUAGCAAUAAAUUUACUCUUAUCAUCCUUCAUGAUGGUAAAUGGGUAAUAUAAUGAAUAUCAUCAAUUGGGACUGAUAUUUGUCAGUGUAUAUCAGAAAAGAGACAUAAGUUAAGAUUGAAAUUACCUAUGUGACAAUGAGUUUGUUUCAAUGGUUUACAAAAGAAUAGGAUAACCCUAAUGCUUUAACUGGCAGCUGGAGGAUGUUGAAAACUCAUGUUGUCUACGGUCCUCAAUCUUCCUAUAUAUUUUAUUAAGCUUAGAUAUCUUAUGCAUCCAUAUUAUUGUAACCCUUUUCAUGGAGUGAUAAGGCGAUCUGAGUGUUUGGAUGGAGGGACAUAGGGUUGGUGUGAUAAGGAGGGUGUAGGUUCGAAUCCUUCUACUAACAUAACAAUUAACAUUUGUUGAUUAAAAAAAAUGUAAUCCUCUCUAGAAUAUCCACAUAAAGUCAACCUUAGUGCACUGACUUGUUUAAGGUAAUCUAAUUUAACAUUUUUAUGCCACUAGGGGUUGAUCUAUUUUGAAAGGACUAGCAUUAUUAUUGUUAUCAUUAAAUCAUCAGUCUACUACGGUGGAUAUGAAACUGAUAUCAAAGCAACUAUAUGUGAGCAAAUGGAAGGAUUAGAAGUUUAGAAGUUAAGUAUUUGUGUAUAUGACAUUUAUGCUUUAGGGAUAACAUGCCGAUUAUGUGGUUUGCUCUAGAAGAGAGGUGGUUUAAUGAUUUCUAUUUUAUCUGCCUAACACUCAUUUAGGUUGAAUUUUAAGUUCUUGGACUGGGUUUGCUCUAGAAGAGAGGUGGUUUGAUGAUUUCUUUUUUAUCUGCCCAACACUCAUUUAGGAUUGAAUUUUAAGUUCAUGGACUUGGUCUGUAUAAAAUAGCUGUGUAUCACUGCUUUGAUGAUUGUCUGCUAUCCCUUGCUACUUCAUAUGCUUUCAUGAUUUUGCAUCCAUUGUCUGCAGGUAUGUGAAGAAAAAUUUAUUAGAUUAUCCCUCUAAUGGCUGUUUGAUAGGUAUGUAAAUUUUAAUUACAUUAGAGUCCUGUAAAUAUAUAUUAAUUAUCUCAUCAUAAUAUUUUAUCCAUGUUUCACCUUCGUUACCUGAAGCCAGGUGGUGUAAAGUUGUAAAAUCUAACUUGAAAUUUCAAAUGAUUGUUAUUGCCUUUUUCCUUUUCGUUUCUGGUCAUUUGUCUUUUUUGUCUUUACAAUUGGCCAUUGGUGUUUUAGAAAUAACAAAUGAUUCCCUGCUUUCUUUUCUCAUGUACAAUACAAAAAUCUGGUCCUGUUAAAUACUAAACAUUGUAGCGAAAAUUGUUUGAUUGGCUGUAUUGUAUACCAAUGUAAAUUCUAGGAAGAAGGUAUUUGAAGUUUUUUUUUU
Cajanus cajan (pigeon pea) is the source of this 3654-nucleotide RNA transcript. RefSeq lists it as uncharacterized. The record is from RefSeq and is a predicted model, not a curated record. NCBI's taxonomy places the organism in Eukaryota, Viridiplantae, Streptophyta, Magnoliopsida, Fabales, Fabaceae.